This 2134-nucleotide long non-coding RNA is filed under the name Helianthus annuus (common sunflower). RNAcentral's name for it is "hypothetical non coding rna". Lineage: Eukaryota; Viridiplantae; Streptophyta; Magnoliopsida; Asterales; Asteraceae. The record is from RNAcentral.
UUGAAUCUGAUUUUGGCUCUCUAAGUUGAAGUUUAUGCUUCACACCUGAGAGUAAAUCGGAUCAAGAGCUUGCGGGGACCUUUUGUAAGUAUUCUUUCGUUCUUUUCAUUCGUUUUUAUCGUUAAAGUCAAACUGCGUUUGACUUUCUGCUUUAACCAGUUUAUGGUCAACGCGAAGUUCAUUUGAACUUCAUAACGUGAGCGUAAUCACGAUGGUUAUAGUCCCUAAUGACUAUACCUACUGAUUUCCACGUUAUCUAGGCUCAGUGACGAGUCGUAGUUUCGGCCAAAAUGCGUUUCCUCGCGUAUUUUGUAACCAAACUACUCUAGGGUAUUAAAACCGUUUGUUUUAAUACCAAACCUGUUUUCUAACUUUACUAAACAUGUUCUAGCGUGUUUAGCUCGUCGCUUUUAGAUUUGUGCUUGUUUAGGGUCGUAAAGGUAAGCGAUCUAAUCAAUCGCUUAUACUUUCGAACCCGACCCAUUUGGUCGAUCAUUAGGAUCCGACCAAACACAUUAGGUGACCAUAGUUGUAUAGGGAAUAAUCUUUUGAGGUUAUACCUUAUGGUCACGUCGUUUAAGUAGUUGUAUGAUAAGUAAUUCUUAUGCCUUAGGAAAAUUACCAAAAUGCCCUUUUUACGCAUAAAUUCAUUUUAAGCAUAUGUAACUUAAAUUUUGACAUCUAAACUGAUUUAGCAACAAUAUUAGACAUGUUAAGGCAUAUAUUACUUGUCAUAGGACUAGUUAGGCGUUCCGAACGCGUUUUACGCGAACGACGCGUUAAAGUAGCGUAAGCUACCUAAACGGGUCGUAAUGGGUCGUAAGCACUUAGGAUAGGUUUCGUUUUAGUAUGUAGGCUUUGUUAAACCAUACUACAUAAGUUCCCACACUUAUUUGGUUUACGAACCCUCGUACUAUCCGAUCUUCCAAGUUAGGUCCGGUUAUUAAUGUAGUUACCUAUACUAGGUGUCGUUUGAUUCCGUGAUCUUCUAGCUUUGCUUGGUGGUUAUCCUAGGACUUCUAAGCAAUCUCAAGUGAGUACAUAGCCCCCCUCUUUUACUGUUUUUUCAAACAUUUUGGGGUGAAACACAUGUGCCUACUUGUUACUUUCGUGAUUUCCAUUGUUUUUACAUCAUAUACUUGCUAUGUUCAUUAGUACACUAUUAGUACAUGAUUUCAUUGUGAUUUUGCUAUGUAUGUUUACUUAACAUGCUAGCACAUCGUUUUACAUAACAUUUCAUGCUAUGUAUGUUCAUCAUACUUAGUACAUUUUACAUCACAUGCUAUGUAUGCCCAUCGUGUGCAUACUUAGUACAUCGUUUUACAUGACAUUUCAUGCUAUGUAUGUUCAUCAUACUUAGUACAUUUUACAUCACAUGCUAUGUAUGCCCAUCGUGUGCAUACUUAGUACAUCGUUUUACAUGACAUUUCAUGUUAUGUAUGUCCAUCAUACUUAGUACAUUUUACAUCACAUGCUAUGUAUGCCCAUUUGUCGCAUACUUAGUACAUUGUUUGUGCAUUUUUACCUAUGGUUUAGUUGAUACAUAUUUCACUUGCCAUACAUGACAUUUUAUUUACACAUUACUUGAUUGACAUUUGACAUAGACAUUUGACAAAUGGUUUAGACAUGGGCAAUUUACAUUGGUGGUUUAUUUUGGUAAGUGAUUUAAGUAACGAGAUGUGUGUAAUAUGAUACAAGCAUGGUGGAUACGCCGCUGGUACUUCCUAUAUAUAAGUGCUUGUAUUAUAUUACAUGUCGUAGCGUUAUUUAAAUCAUUCAAUUUGGACUUAUACAUUUUUACAUAAAUAACAUAUUUUUCACAAGACAUUGUUUUACAAAACAGUUUGUUUUAUACAAACGCAUUUUUACUUGAUUAUUCAUUUAACCUUACAUCAUUCUUUUUAACUAUACAUAUCUAUCAUCGAUUUUCAAACGUUUUAUAAAAGCAAACACUUAAACUGGAUUCAUGACAGGUACAAUAGUUGAUGAUACUUGAUGAUGAUAUUGAUGCAUGCUCACAUAGGAUUGGACAAGGCCUUAGUGACAUUAAAAGAUGCAAGACUAGUUAAUUUUGUUAUGUUUCUUUAUUGUUAAGACAUUGUAACUCAUUUAAUUCAAUAAAACAAAAUUUGUU